This 194-nucleotide microRNA precursor is filed under the name Punica granatum (pomegranate). RNAcentral's name for it is "MIR408 microRNA precursor family". It matches the Rfam family "MIR408 microRNA precursor family". Lineage: Eukaryota; Viridiplantae; Streptophyta; Magnoliopsida; Myrtales; Lythraceae. The record is from Rfam by way of RNAcentral.
GGAAGAGACUGGAACGGAGACUGGGAACAGGCAGGGCAUGGAUGGAUCCACAACAGAGACAAACAGCGGGAUAGAGAUCGAGUCACGGAUCGAGAGAUCAAUCCGAAUUAGAGGACGAGUAUGAGGAAGAAGAAGCUGUUGUGGUGUCCUCCCAUGCACUGCCUCUUCCCUGGUCUUGUGCUCUUCUUCAUUCU